CCUACGGGUGGCAGCAGUGAGGAAUAUUGGUCAAUGGACGAGAGUCUGAACCAGCCAAGUAGCGUGAAGGAUGACUGCCCUAUGGGUUGUAAACUUCUUUUAUAUGGGAAUAAAAUGUUCCACGUGUGGGAUUUUGUAUGUACCAUAUGAAUAAGGAUCGGCUAACUCCGUUCCAGCAGCCGCGGUAAUACGGAGGAUCCGAGCGUUAUCCGGAUUUAUUGGGUUUAAAGGGAGCGUAGGUGGAUUGUUAAGUCAGUUGUGAAAGUUUGCGGCUCAACCGUAAAAUUGCAGUUGAAACUGGCAGUCUUGAGUACAGUAGAGGUGGGCGGAAUUCGUGGUGUAGCGGUGAAAUGCUUAGAUAGCACGAAGAACUCCGAUUGCGAAGGCAGUUCACUGGACUGCAACUGACACUGAGGCUCGAAAGUGUGGGUAUCAAACAGGAUUAGAUACCCCAGUAGUC
RNAcentral lists this ribosomal RNA (460 nucleotides) under uncultured bacterium. RNAcentral's name for it is "partial 16S ribosomal RNA". It matches the Rfam family "Bacterial small subunit ribosomal RNA", at positions 338 to 795 of the family's 1533-position model. The record is from RNAcentral.